Actinia tenebrosa (Australian red waratah sea anemone) is the source of this 278-nucleotide long non-coding RNA. RefSeq lists it as uncharacterized. The record is from RefSeq and is a predicted model, not a curated record. Lineage: Eukaryota; Metazoa; Cnidaria; Anthozoa; Actiniaria; Actiniidae.
ACUUCCAUUUAAAUGAGGACACAAGUGAAUCGCCAAAUAGAGGAUUGUGAUGAGCAGUGUUAUGAAGUCAUCAGUUCAUCCCGGCAGCAGGGCAACAAGUGUGACAAUUUCAGGGACACCCCUACCGCAGACUCAAAAGAAGUUUUCGUGUGGGUGAGCCCUGGUAGGAAAACCACUUGAAACAGAGAAGACUGUAUCCUGUAUGGGUAUUGAUGCUGCCACUAAAAGCAGGUGGUAAGCAUGAAGAAUGGCGGGGGAAAACAACAAAAGAAAUCAAG